Anastrepha ludens (Mexican fruit fly) is the source of this 606-nucleotide long non-coding RNA. RefSeq lists it as uncharacterized. NCBI's taxonomy places the organism in Eukaryota, Metazoa, Arthropoda, Insecta, Diptera, Tephritidae. The record is from RefSeq and is a predicted model, not a curated record. The transcript is spliced from 3 exons.
UUACAGUUUGCGCUCUCACUUUCGUCUUUCUAUUAAGUUUUACGGCUAUAAAAAUUACAAAAUGUAUAUUAAUAGUUUGGAAAAUUUGUCAAAAAUUAUAGUGUACUUAUGUAUGUGAACAGAAAAGUAUAGUUAGUUAUAAAUUAUCACGUAGGAAAACAUUCCUAUAAACAUUCCGAAUAAACAUGAGCACAAAUUUAUGUACAGCAGGGAGAUAAAAUCUUUUUUAUCACAAUUUGUACACUGUGUAAAAAAAUCUAAGCAAUAAAAGAGGUUGCUGUUGGCAUGCGUUGCUACGCCUCAAUGAACAAAGUGAAAAUAACCAAUUGGAAAUAUAGCGGAUAAAUUUGGCCUUUCCAUUUGGGGCUUAGAUGAAGAAUUUACUCGGAGCACUAAGUCCAGGAUAAGCUGUAAAUAGUCAGCCACAUGGAAGCAAAGAUUUUUUAAGUUCAGUCCAGCCUCAUUGAAAGAUUGUUUUUGGGCUCUAUUUUUCAGCGGUAGGUUUGUUUUAAUUAGUACGUGGAAUCAACUCAUUUUCUCCCUUCCAAAGAGUUCAAAAUACAUAACUAUGUUAAAUAUGAAAAAUGAUAAUUAAGUGAUUCCUUG